AGUGAACGCUGGCGGUAUGCCUAAUACAUGCAAGUCGAACGGCAGGACAGUAAGAUCUUGCUCUUACGGUUGGCGAGGGGCGGAUGGGUGAGGAAUACAUCGGCAUCUACUUUUUCUUGGGGGACAACGUAGAGCAGCUUACACUAAUACCGCAUAUGUCCUACGGGAGAAAUCAGUAGAGCAUGGCAGCUUUCCCGACUGUAUUAGCCGAAGUCGGAUUAGCUAGUUGGCGAGGUAACGGCCUACCAAGGCGACGAUGCGUAGCUGAUCUGAGAGGAUGAUCAGCCACACUGGAACUGAGACACGGUCCAGACUCCUACGGGAGGCAGCAGUAGGGAAUCUUGGACAAUGGGCGAAAGCCUGAUCCAGCCAUACCGCGUGAGUGAAGAAGGCCUUCGGGUUGUAAAGCCCUUUUAUUAGGGAAGAAAAGCAGCAGGUUUAACUACGGAUGUUCUGACGGUACCCAAAGAAAAAGCACCGGCUAACUUCGUG
RNAcentral lists this ribosomal RNA (492 nucleotides) under uncultured bacterium. RNAcentral's name for it is "partial 16S ribosomal RNA". It matches the Rfam family "Bacterial small subunit ribosomal RNA", at positions 29 to 507 of the family's 1533-position model. The record is from RNAcentral.